This 203-nucleotide long non-coding RNA is filed under the name Carica papaya (papaya). RNAcentral's name for it is "long non-coding RNA (CPAP_LNC009165)". The record is from RNAcentral. Lineage: Eukaryota; Viridiplantae; Streptophyta; Magnoliopsida; Brassicales; Caricaceae.
UCCGAUGAACCUCUUUUUGAUUCCUAUUUCACUUGAUUUUUUUUAUCAUUGUGUUUACCGUCCUUUUACAUGUAGAGUAACCGAAGAAAAAACCUCAACCGUGAAGGAGGGCUGGUAGAGCCGCUGCACCCGAAGGUUCCUUCGCCGGUAGGUUUAGUUUUAUUUGAGAUUUUCUGGCCAACAGAGGCCUCUAACGUAUUUUU